UAGAGGGCUCUCUGAGUGGGGUCCAGCAGAGCCCCCUGCCUCUGGGUGAAAUACACAGCCACUUCCUCGAAGCUCACCGGCACCUCAGCUGGCUCCAUCACAGCCAUUUC
Molecule: non-coding RNA, 110 nt
Organism: Chelonoidis abingdonii (Abingdon island giant tortoise)
Lineage: Eukaryota; Metazoa; Chordata; Testudines; Testudinidae
Source: RefSeq, a predicted model, not a curated record